This 72-nucleotide transfer RNA is filed under the name Camelus bactrianus (Bactrian camel). It matches the Rfam family "tRNA". Rfam says of the family: Transfer RNA (tRNA) molecules are approximately 80 nucleotides in length. Their secondary structure includes four short double-helical elements and three loops (D, anti-codon, and T loops). Further hydrogen bonds mediate the characteristic L-shaped molecular structure. tRNAs have two regions of fundamental functional importance: the anti-codon, which is responsible for specific mRNA codon recognition, and the 3' end, to which the tRNAs corresponding amino acid is attached (by aminoacyl-tRNA synthetases). tRNAs cope with the degeneracy of the genetic code in two manners: having more than one tRNA (with a specific anti-codon) for a particular amino acid; and 'wobble' base-pairing, i.e. permitting non-standard base-pairing at the 3rd anti-codon position. The record is from Rfam by way of RNAcentral. Lineage: Eukaryota; Metazoa; Chordata; Mammalia; Artiodactyla; Camelidae. RNAcentral also lists the same sequence under 3 other names.
GAGGGUAAAGCUCAGUGGCAGAGUGUGUGCUUAGCAUGCACGAGGUCCUGGGUUCAAUCCCCAGUACCUCUG